This is a long non-coding RNA of Lynx canadensis (Canada lynx), 260 nucleotides long. RefSeq lists it as uncharacterized. The transcript has 3 exons. The record is from RefSeq and is a predicted model, not a curated record. Lineage: Eukaryota; Metazoa; Chordata; Mammalia; Carnivora; Felidae.
UGGACCAGUGUCUGGGGAAAGAAAGAGAGCCAAAGAGGUGUCCAGAUGGAGUAGAGGAGAUAAAUGGAUGCCUUCACUUGUGUGCGCUUUGCCAUAUGCACAGACACCACGGACUUUGGAACAGCAUUCCUGGCACCUUUGAAACACAAGAAACAAAUCAACAAGAAUGUGUUCCCUGGGGAUGAGAACCUCUAACCUGCAGAGUCCAGAGUUGCAAGGACCAGUAGCCCAAAGUCAUCUGGUGGGUUAUUGGGCAUGGC